UCUAACUUCAGGGGCAAAAAGCCCUCUUAUUGAAGUCUGCACCAGAUGGAAAUGCAAUAUCCAGCCCAUUGCAAGAACCAAGGACAAAAUUAGAAGAAAGAAGUGUGUCUCUUUCCAAACUCAAAGCCAAAGGAAGAAAGUAGACCAGGAAGGACUGAAAUAUAAUCUGUAAUUUACACAGCUGCAGAGCCACAAAGGCAGGGGAUAUUCAAAUAGAUGGAUUGCAGAACCUAUGACAAGAAGAAAGCAUCCAGGCAGAUCUGUGUGUACCUAACGCCGAAAAGUAACUUCACUUCUCACUGAUACUUGCUGUUAUAGUUCUUGUAUAUGAUGUACUACAUUAUGCUAAUAUUUUAGGAAUGGUAAGCCAGCUGUCUGAUACAAUGGCCAAGGUGUUUUUUCUCUAGGAUGGAAAUUCAUAACUUAUGAUCUUCUAGGCAAUAUUUGUAUUCUGCUUUCACUUCAUUUUUAGGGUGGAGUGCCAAAAAAUGAAGAUUUUUGGCUCUAGAGAAAAGAAUGCUCUUAAUUUAUUAGUUCACUUUGGGGGGACAUAGCAAAGCUUUUGGUCAAUGUUUGUUUUUAUAAUCCCAUAAAUCCUAUGCUUUAGCACAACAACGUAUCAGAGAUGAAAACAGUAGAAAACCACUUCUUUCCUGACUUGGCUGUGGAAAGAGUGAGGGCAUGUUGUUUUGGCUGGUCACAUAUUUCUGAAGAAUUUGAUUUGUAUUGAUAGGUUUGUCUCCUUAUGGUGUUACGUGGGAAUUUUGAAUUGCUCUGCAGCAGUUAUCAGAACUGCAGUAUCCUUGAUGAUUCUCACCUUCACUGACCUAGCAUAAACAAGCUGUCUUUUGUGUGCCGGACUGUUGGAUGCAUUAGAAUAUAUAUAAUAAUAUCUUGAUGUUGAAAACUCUACCCUCAGAAGAGAAAGGAAUCAAAGCUGCAAGGUUCGACUGAGCAAAUGAAACAUCUGCCUGAAUUUCAUUUACAGAGGAAGUUUAGAGAACAAAGAGUCUACCAGUCAAAUCCCAUAUUUAAUAAGGAAGUGGUUUAGGUAAUUUAUUUUUGAUUCACAAUCUACAGUCAAAAAUAUUGGUAAAUAUUUCACCCAACUGAAAUAAAAAUAUUCUCUUUACAAAAAAGUCUUGUCAGAGUUUAAUCCGAGCCAACAACUAAGCACCAUACAGCAACUCUCUUACUACUCCCCAGUCAGAUGGGGGAGAUAAUAACAAGGAUAGAAGUAAGAAAACUUGUGGGUUGAGGUAAAAAUAGUUGAAUAGGUAGAGUUAAAGUCAUGCAUGAAAUGGAAGCAAACCAGGGAAUUAAUUCAUUGCUUUCCUAUCAGCAGGAAGAUGUUCAGCCACCUCCAGGAAAGCAGGGCACUACCACAUGUAAUGGUUACUUGGGAAGACAAACAACAUACUCCAGACAUCUUCCCCCUUUUUUCUUCUUCCCCUGGUUUAUAUGCUGAGCCAGACGUCAUAUGGUGUAGAAUAUAGAAUCAUAGAACCAUCAGGUUGGAAAAAACCUCCAUCAUUGAGUCCAACCAUUCCUAUCUGCCACUAAAACAUA
Cuculus canorus (common cuckoo) is the source of this 1569-nucleotide long non-coding RNA. RefSeq lists it as uncharacterized. Lineage: Eukaryota; Metazoa; Chordata; Aves; Cuculiformes; Cuculidae. The transcript is spliced from 3 exons. The record is from RefSeq and is a predicted model, not a curated record.